Molecule: ribosomal RNA, 277 nt
Filed under: Bacillus licheniformis
Lineage: Bacteria; Bacillati; Bacillota; Bacilli; Caryophanales; Bacillaceae
Description: partial 16S ribosomal RNA
Rfam family: Bacterial small subunit ribosomal RNA
Source: RNAcentral
ACGAUGAGUGCUAAGUGUUAGAGGGUUUCCGCCCUUUAGUGCUGCAGCAAACGCAUUAAGCACUCCGCCUGGGGAGUACGGUCGCAAGACUGAAACUCAAAGGAAUUGACGGGGGCCCGCACAAGCGGUGGAGCAUGUGGUUUAAUUCGAAGCAACGCGAAGAACCUUACCAGGUCUUGACAUCCUCUGACAACCCUAGAGAUAGGGCUUCCCCUUCGGGGGCAGAGUGACAGGUGGUGCAUGGUUGUCGUCAGCUCGUGUCGUGAGAUGUUGGGUU